RNAcentral lists this ribosomal RNA (495 nucleotides) under uncultured bacterium. Its description in RNAcentral is "partial 16S ribosomal RNA". It matches the Rfam family "Bacterial small subunit ribosomal RNA", at positions 28 to 507 of the family's 1533-position model. The record is from RNAcentral.
GACGAACGCUGGCGGCGUGCCUAAUACAUGCCAGUAGAACGCUGAAGGUGGAGCUUGCUACUCUGGAUGAGUUGCGAACGGGUGAGUAACGCGUGGGGAACCUGCCUGGUAGAGGGGGGGAACUCUUGGAAACGCUAGCUAAUACCGCAUAAUAUUGACUAUUUCAUGAUAGUCAGUUGAAAGGUGCACCAGCACCACUACCAGAUGGACCUGCGUUGUAUUAGCUAGUUGGUGGGGUAACGGCUCACCAAGGCGACGAUACAUAGCCGACCUGAGAGGGUGAUCGGCCACACUGGGACUGAGACACGGCCCAGACUCCUACGGGAGGCAGCAGUAGGGAAUCUUCGGCAAUGGACGGAAGUCUGACCGAGCAACGCCGCGUGAGUGAAGAAGGUUUUCGGAUCGUAAAGCUCUGUUGUAAGAGAAGAACGAGUGUGAGAGUGGAAAGCUCACACUGUGACGGUAUCUUACCAGAAAGGGACGGCUAACUACGUG